Molecule: long non-coding RNA, 1133 nt
Filed under: Nicotiana benthamiana
Lineage: Eukaryota; Viridiplantae; Streptophyta; Magnoliopsida; Solanales; Solanaceae
Description: long non-coding RNA (NBEN_LNC041601)
Source: RNAcentral
UUUUAUGUUAAACACAGUAAAGCUGUUGAAAACUACUUUGGUUUAGGUGCUGAUAUGCUCCUUGUAUGUUUUUGACAUUGCAAUUCAGUCUAGUGACAGAUAUUAGGAUGAACUAGUUCUUUAACAGAGUAUGGUAUGCUUUAUAUAUGCAUUUCAAAGGUAGCGGGUGGCACCUUCUUCCAAAAAACACUAUAUCUGAGUCUACCUAAUUUUACCACUCAUUGUUCUCUCUUUUUUAGGUUGCCAACAUGAUAAGAUUUUUGGUUGAUAGCUAUAACAAACCAAUUCCAGCCAUUCUGGAGAUUCCUUCAAAGGACCAUCCCUAUGAUCCUGCUCAUGACUCCGUACUUUCACGAGUGAAGUAUCUCUUCUCUACUGAAUCAGUGGCAUCUGGAAGGCGUUGAUCCAUGACUCUGUUCUUUCACGAGUGAAGUAUCUCUUCUCUACUGAAUCAGUGGCAUCUGGAAGGCGUUGAUGAUGGUUUGUGUUUCAACAUACUUCAAUCAUUUAAUUCAUAUCUGAAUGUUGUAUUCUAUGUUAUCUUGUGCUCGUACAUUUUUCAUUUUGCAAUCUAUGUUAUUUUCUUACUUUUAAAUUAUCUUUUCUGACAACUUAUUGAAAGCAGUUUCUAAGAGUUACUCUAUGACAGUGAAUAACCUCGUUAUAAACAAGUCAGAAGUUGAGGUGAUGCUUAUUCUUGAUGAAUAAUUUAGCAAUGUCUCGUAUGUAGUGAAUGACUUUUUGGCUUUUUUUAGCUUCUUAAAUUUUCUUAAGAUAUACUUAUUUUGGCCAUUAUUUUCACCUUACCUGUAAUAUUGAGAUCUUAUAUCCACCAUAACUGUUUCAAGGAGUAACAUUUGUCAUGUCUACUUUUGUUCACAUCACAUGGGAAAAUGGCAACACUAUAAGUUGGUGAACUUAGUUAGUCAGUACUAAGCUUGCUAAGCUUCAGCCCACCAUCAUACUGUUACGACGGUUCGUGACACACAUUAUUAUUUUGGUCCUUUAGACUUCAUGGAUUUCUUCUUUGAGCAACAUCAUAUUGAUCUCAAAAUUGAAUAUACCACUUGAAUUUGUUCUAUAUUUAAUCCAAGCACCCACUCCUUCCGCCCUAGACGCGGGAUUCACGUAAG